RNAcentral lists this ribosomal RNA (1447 nucleotides) under uncultured rumen bacterium. RNAcentral describes it as "bacterial SSU rRNA". It matches the Rfam family "Bacterial small subunit ribosomal RNA". The record is from RNAcentral.
AUGAACGCUGGCGGCGUUGCCUAACACAUGCAAGUCGAGCGAAGAGUUGAAGCUUGCUUUAACUACUUAGCGGCGGACGGGUGAGUAACGCGUGGGUAACCUGCCCUGUACAGAGGAAUAACAGUUAGAAAUGACUGCUAAUGCCUCAUAAGCCGACGAAAUGGCAUCUUUUUGUCGGAAAAGAUUUAUCGGUACAGGAGGGACCCGCGUCUGAUUAGCUAGUUGGUGAGGUAACGGCCCACCAAGGCGACGAUCAGUAGCCGACCUGAGAGGGUGAUCGGCCACAUUGGAACUGAGACACGGUCCAAACUCCUACGGGAGGCAGCAGUGGGGAAUAUUGCACAAUGGGGGAAACCCUGAUGCAGCAACGCCGCGUGAAGGAAGAAGUAUUUCGGUAUGUAAACUUCUAUCGACAGGGAAGAAACAAAUGACGGUACCUGAAUAAGAAGCACCGGCUAAAUACCUGCCAGCAGCCGCGGUAAUACGUAUGGUGCAAGCGUUAUCCGGAUUUACUGGGUGUAAAGGGUGAGCAGGCGGUUAUGCAAGUCAUACGUGAAAUGUCGGGGCUUAACCCCGGCCUGCGUAAGAAACUGUAUAACUUGAGUGCAGGAGAGGCAAGCGGAAUUCCCAGUGUAGCGGUGAAAUGUCGUAAAUUAUUGGGGAAGAACACCCGGUGGCGAAAAGGCGGCUUGCUUGGACCUGUAACUUGACCGCUGAGUCACGAAAAGCGUGGGGAGCGAACAGGAUUAGAUACCCUGGUAGUCCACGCCGUAAAACGAUGAGUGCUAGGUGUUGGCGAGAGAUCGUCGGUGCCGCCAGCAAACGCAAUAAGCACUCCACCUGGGGAGUACGGCCGCAAGGCUGAAACUCAAAGGAAUUGACGGGGACCCGCACAAGCGGUGGAGCAUGUGGUUUAAUUCGAAGCAACGCGAAGAACCUUACCUAAACUUGACAUCCCGAUGAUCAUCUAUGUAAUGUAGACUUUUUUCGGAACAUCGGUGACAGGUGGUGCAUGGUUGUCGUCAGCUCGUGUCGUGAGAUGUUGGGUUAAGUCCCGCAACGAGCGCAACCCUUACUUUCAGUAGCCAUCAUUAAGUUGGGCACUCUGGAAGGACUGCCGUGGAUAACACGGAGGAAGGUGGGGAUGACGUCAAAUCAUCAUGCCCCUUAUGUUUAGGGCUACACACGUGCUACAAUGGCUGUUACAAAGUGAAGCGAACCUGCGAAGGUGAGCAAACCACAAAAAAGCAGCCCCAGUUCGGAUUGUAGUUUGCAACUUGAAUACAAGAAGUUGGAAUCGCUAGUAAUCGGGAAUCAGAAUGUCGCGGUGAAUACGUUCCCGGGUCUUGUACACCCCGCCCGUCACACCAUGGGAGUUGGAAGCGCCCGAAGUCUGUGACCUAACCGUAAGGAAGGAGCAGCCGAAGGUGAAGCCAGUGACUGGGGU